Molecule: ribosomal RNA, 253 nt
Filed under: uncultured bacterium
Lineage: Bacteria
Description: partial 16S ribosomal RNA
Rfam family: Bacterial small subunit ribosomal RNA
Source: RNAcentral
UACGUAGGGACCGAGCGUUGUCCGGAUUCAUUGGGCGUAAAGAGCUCGUAGGCGGCCACUCAAGUCGAAUGUGAAACCUCGAGGCUCAACCUCGAGCCUGCAUUCGAUACUGGGCGGCUAGAGUCUGGUAGGGGGAUCUGGAAUUCCUGGUGUAGCGGUGGAAUGCGCAGAUAUCAGGAGGAACACCGGUGGCGAAGGCGGAUCUCUGGGCCUUACCUGACGCUCAGGCGCGAAAGCUAGGGGAGCGAACAGG